UCUUCAUCAGCCGUUUUCUAUACAUCCAACAUUUCCCACCCAAAAUGUUCCUCUACCUUCAUCUCUUUGAGAAAACCUAUCUUCACACCAUUAUAAUACAGUGAAAUAAAAAGAUUUGAAAUUGAAGCCUUAUCAUUCGAUCCACACACACAAGCACAGACACUCUCACACAACUCAGACUUACCCCUCUCCCUCUCGAUCUGCUGGUCAAGAUGACCGGAGCUGCACCUGCGUCGGUGUCGGCGACUCCCUCCGCCGGUGACGAGCACCUACACCUCGUCUCCUCUCGCACACCCGUACUUCAUCUCCCUCUCGCCUGAUCGGAGCUCCGACGAGCUUCUCCGACAGACCCGCACCACACACGUCCCUUGUUCCUUCUCCGGCGGAGGCAGUGGACGCCGGUGACGGUGAGACGCGGCGGUAGUGGCGGUGUAUCGUUCCGACAAGUUUCACGUCAGUGAAGUGGUUAUGUGGUUCGGUUAGUUCAGUUUGCUUUCGGGUUCGAUUCGGGGUUCAGGUGGCGGUUCAACUCGGUUCGGUCCAGGUCCUACUCGGGUCAGCAGGUUCGAGCCAGCGUGUUCGGGUCAGUGGAUUCAAGCUUUGUUUCAAAUAUGGUUUGGGUCUUGUUUCAAUCGACUUCAGGUUCGGGUCAGACUCGUUCUGGCUCGGGCUUCAACGGCGACGACUCGAGAUGUUCCGAAUAGGUUCAGGCAAUGACUCAACAAGUUUGCCCCUUUCAGUUUUCAGUUGCGAGUCUUAGUUUGUUUUGGUUCAGAUUCGUGUCUGGUUCAGAUUUAAAGUUCGCGACACGAUCGGUUCUGGUCUGGUUCAAGGUUCGCAUCGGAGUUUCGUGGACGUCGUCGGAAAACAUUUCAUUUCUUUUGUUCGGUUAACCGUUUCAUCCAUUUGGAAUCCUUUUCCAAAUCUUUCUUCGAGCGUUACUUUCAAAGAAUCUCUAUCUGCAAAACUUGUGAUCUCAAGACUUCAUCAACCCCACUCGCGGUCUAAGUGUACUUCCUAAGCAAAACAUUGUUGAUGAUGACGAUGCUAUGAAAAGAAGUAGCGUUGAUGCCUAGAUACACAUAUAGACGUUUAGGUUUAAUAUGUUGUAUCAAUUUUGCUUAUGAUGUUAUGUAUUACUUUUGGAACUUGUUGUCAUUUGAGUUUAUGUAAUGUUGACUAUUUGAAGUUAUGAAAUGAAAUUGGGAUUAUUUAAA
Molecule: long non-coding RNA, 1217 nt
Organism: Helianthus annuus (common sunflower)
Lineage: Eukaryota; Viridiplantae; Streptophyta; Magnoliopsida; Asterales; Asteraceae
Exons: 3
Source: RefSeq, a predicted model, not a curated record